Molecule: ribosomal RNA, 340 nt
Filed under: uncultured soil bacterium
Lineage: Bacteria
Description: bacterial SSU rRNA
Rfam family: Bacterial small subunit ribosomal RNA
Source: RNAcentral
AGAACGAACGCUGGCGGCAUGCCUAACACAUGCAAGUCGAACGAGACCUUCGGGUCUAGUGGCGCACGGGUGCGUAACGCGUGGGAAUCUGCCCUUGGGUUCGGAAUAACAGUUGGAAGCGACUGCUAAUACCGGAUGAUGACGUUAAGUCCAAAGAUUUAUCGCCCAGGGAUGAGCCCGCGUAGGAUUAGCUAGUGUGAGGUAAGCUCACAAGCGACGAUCCUUAGCUGGUCUGAGAGGAUGAUCAGCCACACUGGGACUGACGACACGGCCCAGACUCCGUACGGGAGCAGCAGGUGGGGAACUAGUGGACAAUGGGACAAAGCUGACUCCGAGCAAU